GUCCUGCAGUCUUCUCGUUGUUAUAUCCACCUUUUACUGAAGCAUGAACACUAAAAACAAAACCAUACUUACUGUGCGUAAUGAGGCAAUAUCCACCUUUCCAAAGUUUUCCUGAAAGUUUCAAGGGUUUUCUCAUCUGCUCAGCUCAGCUCAACUUGAGGAAAACUUUCCCAACGUUGCCCAGGAACGCGCAGGCGCGCCGCCUCCCGACACAAUUCGGACAGAGCUUCUUGCAUUGUUUCCGCCCAGCUUUCCCAUGGGACGGACAUACAGACCAUAACAUUAACCAAUCAUUUGGUGUAAUUACCUGAUUCGAAGCAGUGGAAAUUGAAACAAAUAAAACCAACCCUCCC
This is a long non-coding RNA of Esox lucius (northern pike), 353 nucleotides long. The record is from Ensembl. Lineage: Eukaryota; Metazoa; Chordata; Actinopteri; Esociformes; Esocidae.